AAUUCUCAACCCUUGUUAACUUUUUAGUUAGUAAGUGGAUUGGAAGUGGGGGCAUGUUGGUUUCUUCAUUGAAAUGAACUCCCCUGAAAUGCAUUAGCUGGUUGCCUUGUGCAAACAUGUCUAUUGGUGUGAUAAUUAUCUACGCCGUGGGCUAUUUGCCGUUUAUAGCACUGCUUAUAAUCGUCUGUUCAUUCAGACAAUACAUGACA
RNAcentral lists this unclassified non-coding RNA (209 nucleotides) under uncultured Hypholoma. RNAcentral's name for it is "sequence contains ITS2". Lineage: Eukaryota; Fungi; Basidiomycota; Agaricomycetes; Agaricales; Strophariaceae. RNAcentral also lists the same sequence under 1 other name. The record is from RNAcentral.